RNAcentral lists this ribosomal RNA (231 nucleotides) under uncultured bacterium. RNAcentral's name for it is "partial 16S ribosomal RNA". It matches the Rfam family "Bacterial small subunit ribosomal RNA", at positions 15 to 244 of the family's 1533-position model. The record is from RNAcentral.
GAUCAUGGCUCAGGACGAACGCUGGCGGCGUGCUUAACACAUGCAAGUCGAACGGUGAAGCUCCAGCUUGCUGGAGUGGAUCAGUGGCGAACGGGUGAGUAACACGUGAGCAACCUGCCCCUGACUCUGGAAUAAGCGCUGGAAACGGCGUCUAAUACUGGAUACGAGAAGGGUCCGCAUGGGCACUUUCUGGAAAGUUUUUCGGUUGGGGAUGGGCUCGCGGCCUAUCAG